RNAcentral lists this non-coding RNA (45 nucleotides) under Schistosoma haematobium. Lineage: Eukaryota; Metazoa; Platyhelminthes; Trematoda; Strigeidida; Schistosomatidae. The record is from RNAcentral.
AUCCAGCCGACUAGUCCCAAACAGGACGAAACGCGCGUCCUGGAU